CGCAUCUGUGCAUGCAGCAUAUCAAUAAGCGGAGGAAAAGAAACUAACAAGGAUUCCCUCAGUAACGGCGAGUGAAGCGGGAAGAGCUCAAAUUUGAAAUCUUGAAAGGUCACCUUUCACGAAUUGUAGUUUAAAGAAGUGUUUUCUGUUACGAUCGUAAUAUAAGUUCUUUGGAAUAGGACAUCACAGAGGGUGAGAAUCCCGUCUAUGAUUGCGAUUUGUAGCUUUGUGAUACACUUUCAAAGAGUCGGGUUGUUUGGGAAUGCAGCCCAAAAUGGGUGGUAAAUUUCAUCUAAAGCUAAAUAUUGGCGAGAGACCGAUAGCGAACAAGUACCGUGAGGGAAGGAUGAAAAGAACUUUGAAAAGAGAGUUAAACAGUACGUGAAAUUGUCAAAAGGGAAGCGUUUGACACCAGUGUUGUUUUUCUGAAAAUCAAUUAAAGAACUGUUUAUGCUAAGUUGUUUAGACUUUAUCAGCUAACUGUUUAGUUUUGAGCUUUUCUUUAAUGCACUUUUCAGUUAACAAGUCAACAUCAAUUUCUUUUGCUGUAAAAAAGCUUGAGGAAGGUGGCUUGGGAUUCGUCUUAAGUGUUUAUAGCCUCUUGCCUAUGCAGUCGGAGAGAUUGAGGUCUGCAGCGUAGAUCCUUCGGGGCUAAAUGCAUUUGUGCUAAGUUAUAGCAUUUUAUAGACAACUUGUUGACUAUGAUUUGUCUUGUAGCUUACUCGCUUAUGUUAUUUUACCUACGCUUAGGAUGUUGAAGUCAUCGUAUCGCGC
RNAcentral lists this ribosomal RNA (774 nucleotides) under uncultured Neocallimastigales. Its description in RNAcentral is "partial large subunit ribosomal RNA". It matches the Rfam family "Eukaryotic large subunit ribosomal RNA", at positions 26 to 645 of the family's 3401-position model. Lineage: Eukaryota; Fungi; Neocallimastigomycota; Neocallimastigomycetes; Neocallimastigales. The record is from RNAcentral.